CCCUUAGAUGUUCUGGGCUGCACGCGCGCUACACUGAUGUGUCCAGUAAGCACCUAACCUCUUCCGAAAGGAACGGGUAACCUUUGCAAAGCACAUCGUGAUGGGGAUAGAUUAUUGCAAUUAUUAGUCUUGAACGAGGAAUUCCUAGUAAGCACAAGUCAUCAGCUUGUGUUGAUUACGUCCCUGCCCUUUGUACACACCGCCCGUCGCUCUUACCGAUUGAAUGUUCCGGUGAGCUCUUCGGACUGCGCGGUCUGCAGUUUCUGCGUUCCGUGCGGAAAGUUGCGCAAACCUUAACAUUUAGAGGAAGGAGAAGUCGUAACA
This 324-nucleotide ribosomal RNA is filed under the name uncultured eukaryote. RNAcentral's name for it is "partial 18S ribosomal RNA". It matches the Rfam family "Eukaryotic small subunit ribosomal RNA", at positions 1470 to 1796 of the family's 1831-position model. The record is from RNAcentral.